Long non-coding RNA from Triticum aestivum (bread wheat), 639 nucleotides. RefSeq lists it as uncharacterized. The record is from RefSeq and is a predicted model, not a curated record. The transcript has 2 exons. Lineage: Eukaryota; Viridiplantae; Streptophyta; Magnoliopsida; Poales; Poaceae.
GCCAAGCAAAGUGAGAGAUCAAGAGAGAUGGCGCCCAAGGCAUUCCCCGCUCUGGUCCUUCUGGCGCUCGUCUGCGGCCAGCUUGUGGUCGACGGCCAUGCCCAGCCCUACACCGGCGGCGGCCGCAUCAGGGGAGGAGGAGGAUCUGCUGCCGGACUACAGCCACCGACUUACCCUCCUGCCCAUGCCCACUCCUCCACCAUUGGAGAAUACAACGGUGCUGCAAGGCCUUCAGCCGUGGAAGAAGACAAGUCCUUCAUGGUCAACAGCCUGCCGGCGCACGACCGCCCGCUUCCUGUCCCGCCUUCCGGCCACUAGUUCGUCCAGGUCCAGGCAGUGCAGCCGAGCUUGAGACCAACGGCCCAGUGGCCAGUACUAAUAUAAGAAUAAAAUCUGUGUGAAGUUGUCAUGUUUGCAGGGUGACUCUGUUUCUGUCAUCAGGGGUAUAAAAGCAGAGCACAACGAAUGAUGUACUGUUGAGGAAGUUGGGACAUAUACAAGUUUAUCCCGAAAUUUCGUUUACAUCUUACCAAAAACAGAAUAUGAGUUAAACCAAACGGUUCACAAACGUUUUUCGAUCUUGCAUUUUCGUACUGAUAAAUGUACAUGGUCGAAAUUACGGCGACCACUCGAACGAAA